GCCCGGCUAGCUUAAUCGGUAGAGCGUGAGACUCUUAACGCUUCCCUACAAGAUUCUGUAGGCAUCUCAAGGGGGUUCGACCCUCCCUGUCGGGCU
This is a non-coding RNA of Lasiosphaeris hirsuta, 96 nucleotides long. The record is from the annotation of a GenBank genome assembly. NCBI's taxonomy places the organism in Eukaryota, Fungi, Ascomycota, Sordariomycetes, Sordariales, Lasiosphaeriaceae.